GGAAAGUUGAAAAGAACUUUGAAGAGAGAGUUCAAGAGUACGUGAAACCGUUUAGAGGUAAACGGAUGGGACCGCAAGGUUCCCCUCGGAAUUCAACCUUCCGCUCGGUCAUCGGCCGUCGCGUCGGAUCCGCAAGGACCGGCCGGCGGUCGAGUGGCCGUCGGUGGGCGCACUUUCCGAGGGACUGUGGCCAGGACAGGUUCUCGAGCGUCCAUGAGCCCGCGUGUUAAGGUAGCCGUCUUCGGGCGGCGUUUAUAUUCGCGGGUGGGCAGCGCUCGGGUACCGAGGAACGACCGCCGUGGUUGGCGCGUCGCCGUCUCGUGUCGGGUUCGACUGGCGUGGACUGUUCGCAGUGCUCGCCGACCGCUCGGCGCGUGUGCGGUGGCCAACGCCUGCCGACUCAGGGUCUCUGGCCGUUUUCGUCGGCACCCCAUCCGACCCGUCUUGAAACACGGACCAAGGAGUCUAACAUGUGUGCGAGUCACUGGGUGGCAAACCCACGGGCGAAAUGAAAGUGAAGGUUGGCUCUGGUCGGCCCAGGUGGGAUCGCAGCGAUGCGCGCACCACUGGCCCGUCUCGAUCUCAACGCCAGAUGAGGCGGAGCAAGAGCAUACACGUUGGGACCCG
RNAcentral lists this ribosomal RNA (627 nucleotides) under Sosane sulcata. RNAcentral's name for it is "eukaryotic LSU rRNA". It matches the Rfam family "Eukaryotic large subunit ribosomal RNA", at positions 358 to 818 of the family's 3401-position model. The record is from RNAcentral. Lineage: Eukaryota; Metazoa; Annelida; Polychaeta; Terebellida; Ampharetidae.